Molecule: non-coding RNA, 220 nt
Organism: Pelobates cultripes (western spadefoot toad)
Lineage: Eukaryota; Metazoa; Chordata; Amphibia; Anura; Pelobatidae
Source: the annotation of a GenBank genome assembly
CUCGAACCAUCCUACCAGGUAUGGCUGCACACUAGUAUGAUGAUGUACCUCUUCACAGAGCGUUGAGACAAUAUAGACACACACUUUCAAUUUCUUAAUUAUUGCCCUUAUGGUGGAAAUGGGUGUAACGGACCGUUUUGCACACAAGGGGUAAAAACCAUUUAGGCGAUCGUCCCCCUUUCCAGAGAUGCAGGCACAGCUAUUGUAGAACACCAAAAUC